This is a non-coding RNA of Sarcophilus harrisii (Tasmanian devil), 46 nucleotides long. The record is from Rfam. Lineage: Eukaryota; Metazoa; Chordata; Mammalia; Dasyuromorphia; Dasyuridae.
UCCCAGGUUUUUCUAAAAACCACCCUAUUCAUCAUUUCUUAUAGCA